UGGAGAGAAAGGCGGUG
RNAcentral lists this microRNA (17 nucleotides) under Corchorus olitorius. RNAcentral describes it as "hsa-miR-43". Lineage: Eukaryota; Viridiplantae; Streptophyta; Magnoliopsida; Malvales; Malvaceae. The record is from RNAcentral.